AACGAACGCUGGCGGCAUGCCUAACACAUGCAAGUCGAACGAGACCUUCGGGUCUAGUGGCGCACGGGUGCGUAACGCGUGGGAACCUGCCCUUAGGUUCGGACUAACUCCCCGACAGGGGUGCUAAUACCGGAUAAUGUCUUCGGCCCAAAGAUUUAUCGCCUUUGGAUGGGCCCGCGUUGGAUUAGCUAGUUGGUAGGGUAAAAGCCUACCAAGGCGACGAUCCAUAGCUGGUCUGAGAGGAUGAUCAGCCACACUGGGACUGAGACACGGCCCAGACUCCUACGGGAGGCAGCAGUGGGGAAUAUUGGACAAUGGGCGAAAGCCUGAUCCAGCAAUGCCGCGUGAGUGAUGAAGGCCUUAGGGUUGUAAAGCUCUUUUACCCGGGAUGAUAAUGACAGUACCGGGAGAAUAAGCUCCGGCUAACUCCGUG
Molecule: ribosomal RNA, 433 nt
Filed under: uncultured bacterium
Lineage: Bacteria
Description: partial 16S ribosomal RNA
Rfam family: Bacterial small subunit ribosomal RNA
Source: RNAcentral